GUAACGAGCGCAACCUUCGUCUUAGUUACCAGCACGUUAUGGUGGGCACUCUAAGGAGACUGCCGGUGACAAACCGGAGGAAGGUGGGGAUGACGUCAAGUCAUCAUGGCCCUUACGGCCUGGGCUACACACGUGCUACAAUGGUCGGUACAAAGGGUUGCCAAGCCGCGAGGUGGAGCUAAUCCCAAUAAAAACCGAUCGUAGUCCGGAUCGCAGUCUGCAACUCGACUGCGUGAAGUCGGAAUCGCUAGUAAUCGUGAAUCAGAAUGUCACGGUGAAUACGUUCCCGGGCCUU
This 295-nucleotide ribosomal RNA is filed under the name uncultured Pseudomonas sp. RNAcentral's name for it is "partial 16S ribosomal RNA". It matches the Rfam family "Bacterial small subunit ribosomal RNA", at positions 1089 to 1382 of the family's 1533-position model. Lineage: Bacteria; Pseudomonadati; Pseudomonadota; Gammaproteobacteria; Pseudomonadales; Pseudomonadaceae. The record is from RNAcentral.